AUGGGAACGCGAAGAACCUUACCUGGCCUUGACAUGUCUGGAAUCCUGCAGAGAUGCGGGAGUGCCUUCGGGAAUCAGAACACAGGUGCUGCAUGGCUGUCGUCAGCUCGUGUUGUGAAAUGUUGGGUUAAGUCCCGCAACGAGCGCAACCCUUAUCCUUUGUUGCCAGCGGUUAGGCCGGGAACUCAAAGGAGACUGCCAGUGAUAAACUGGAGGAAGGUGGGGAUGACGUCAAGUCAUCAUGGCCCUUACGAGUAGGGCUACACACGUGCUACAAUGGCGUAUACAGAGGGAAGCGACCUCGCGAGAGCAAGCGGAACCCAAAAGUACGUCGUAGUCCGGAUCGGAGUCUGCAACUCGACUCCAUGAAGUCGGAAUCGCUAGUAAUCGUAGAUCAGAAUGCUACGGUGAAUACGUUCCCGGGUCUUGUACACACCG
RNAcentral lists this ribosomal RNA (438 nucleotides) under uncultured bacterium. RNAcentral's name for it is "bacterial SSU rRNA". It matches the Rfam family "Bacterial small subunit ribosomal RNA", at positions 954 to 1392 of the family's 1533-position model. The record is from RNAcentral.